This 253-nucleotide ribosomal RNA is filed under the name uncultured bacterium. RNAcentral's name for it is "partial 16S ribosomal RNA". It matches the Rfam family "Bacterial small subunit ribosomal RNA", at positions 524 to 776 of the family's 1533-position model. The record is from RNAcentral.
UACGGAGGGUGCAAGCGUUAUCCGGAUUCACUGGGUUUAAAGGGUGCGUAGGAGGGCAGGUAAGUCAGCGGUGAAAUCUCCGAGCUUAACUUGGAAACUGCCGUUGAUACUAUCUGCCUUGAAUAUUGUGGAGGUGAGCGGAAUAUGUCAUGUAGCGGUGAAAUGCUUAGAUAUGACAUAGAACACCAAUUGCGAAGGCAGCUCGCUACACAUAUAUUGACUCUGAGGCACGAAAGCGUGGGGAUCAAACAGG